RNAcentral lists this long non-coding RNA (1383 nucleotides) under Bos indicus x Bos taurus (hybrid cattle). RNAcentral's name for it is "lncRNA (ENSBIXG00000004298.1)". Lineage: Eukaryota; Metazoa; Chordata; Mammalia; Artiodactyla; Bovidae. The record is from RNAcentral.
GGGCUGCUGUCUAUGGGGUCGCACAGAGUUGGACACAACUGAAGCGACUUAGCAACAGCAACAAACUGUUAAACUAUAUUUUUAUCCUUGUAUCCUGAGAAAUCUACCUUUAUCAAGCAAGUUUUUUUUUUAAUUUAAUUGAAUGAUAAUUACUUUACAAUGUUGUGUGAGUUUCUGUUGUACAAUGACAUGAAUCAGCCUUAUGUAUACAUAUAUCCCCUCCCUCUUGAGUUUUCCUCCAACCCCACCCCUUCAUCCCGCCCCUCUAGGUUAACACAGAGCACCAGACGGAGGUUCUUGUGUCAUAUAGCAAGUUUCCACUAGCUAUAUGUUUUACACAUAUACACAUGUGUGCAUUUCAGUGCGACUCUCUGAAUUCAUCCUACCCUCUCCUUCCCCCACUGUGUCCACAAGUCUCUUCUCUACAUUUGCAUCUCUAUUCCCAUGGACAGAUGAGUGGAUAAAGAAGUUGGGAUGGAAAGUAAACACCUGGGAACUUUUCAGCUCAACAUAUUUGCGGCCCUGAGACUGCCAAGAUUCUUCACUGUGAAAGUUCUCCAAGGAUUAGCCUAUUCCUGUUCUCCCUGUUCCACACAUAAAUAUUAAUUACCCCUAAAUACAGCCCAUUUACUAGCAUCAGUCAUGAAAAAUUUAAAAUGCCAAGCGAGUGUGAGAGAAACUUGACUGUAAAUAAUUGUUACAUUGUUCUGUUUGUUCUCAGCAUUGGUAGUUAGGAGUUUGUGAGAAAGGGGAAGCUGUGAGCAUGCAUGGCCUGUGGAUGAUAAUUACAAAAUGCCAGAAGGAGAGUCUUGAAUUUUUUAAAGAGGCUUUAAUGACUCCCAGGACAUUGAGGCAGAGCAGCAUGGAUCUUGUUGAGGAAAAAAAAAGUCAGUGUUACAGAAAAUUCAUUGCCUGGUUAGAAUGCAGAGAGGGGAUGGAUACUAAACAUUCCAUCUGAACUGUUCAGGUGGCCAAUGGGGAAUUUAGUUUUAUGAAAUGUGGUUUUGUCAUCUUUCAACCUGGCAGAAUGGUAACUCAAAGGGUGGAGGAGAAAUGGAGGUGCAGAAUUAUAUUAUUUAAAUGGUAUUUAUAAAGACCACUGAGAUAUUUCAUCCUUCUUUCUCUGAGGAAAAAGGUACAAAAAUGAUGUCCUAAAGGCAUAUGAGAUCAGUUGGAAUAAGUUAAGUGGCAAAGACAAUAAUAAUGUAACAGAGAAAUAUAACCUGUAUUAUUUAAAUUAUUCAAAGGAUGCUAAAAUUGUUACUAAGGUCACUAUGAUGCAUAAUGAUAAUGUGUGGUAUGUUAAACCUAUAUGGUCUUUAAAAUAUAAAUUUUCUGAUAUAAAAGUAAUAAAAAUACUGUGGAAAUUUUGGAAAAGAUACA